Molecule: ribosomal RNA, 447 nt
Filed under: uncultured bacterium
Lineage: Bacteria
Description: partial 16S ribosomal RNA
Rfam family: Bacterial small subunit ribosomal RNA
Source: RNAcentral
UAGGGAAUCUUCCACAAUGGACGCAAGUCUGAUGGAGCAACGCCGCGUGAGUGAAGAAGGUUUUCGGAUCGUAAAGCUCUGUUGUUGGUGAAGAAGGAUAGAGGCAGUAACCGGUCUUUAUUUGACGGUAAUCAACCAGAAAGUCACGGCUAACUACGUGCCAGCAGCCGCGGUAAUACGUAGGUGGCAAGCGUUGUCCGGAUUUAUUGGGCGUAAAGCGAGCGCAGGCGGAAUGAUAAGUCUGAUGUGAAAGCCCACGGCUCAACCGUGGAACUGCAUCGGAAACUGUCAUUCUUGAGUGCAGAAGAGGAGAGUGGAACUCCAUGUGUAGCGGUGGAAUGCGUAGAUAUAUGGAAGAACACCAGUGGCGAAGGCGGCUCUCUGGUCUGCAACUGACGCUGAGGCUCGAAAGCAUGGGUAGCGAACAGGAUUAGAUACCCUGGUAGU